RNAcentral lists this long non-coding RNA (446 nucleotides) under Malus domestica (apple). Its description in RNAcentral is "long non-coding RNA (MDOM_LNC012180)". Lineage: Eukaryota; Viridiplantae; Streptophyta; Magnoliopsida; Rosales; Rosaceae. The record is from RNAcentral.
CUUUGCCUAAAGAACGAUUUGCCUAACUAAGAGAGCUUCUAGAAGUCAAGUCAACUAAAGGGUUAGAAGGGAGUGUUGGUGUGUAACCCUUCAGCCGAGACUUAGAGGCAAAGAAACAAUUCAAACCUUUAGUUUAAUAUUUGUUUCAAGUUUAAAUUAGAGUCGUUGGAUAGUCCAUGUGGCUGCUCUCACUUGUAUCUAGCUUAAGUGAUAGAUUAUAACAAGUGGCAUCAUUUCAUAAGGUGAUAGCAAUUAAGGGCUGAGAUUUAGUUUUGGCUUGAUGAGUGAAGGAUCUCCUUUCCUUUUCCAUGUAUAACGGUAACAACCUCACAUGUUUGUUGUGAGGGAAUAUCGAAAUCAAUUCCAUCAUCAUUCUCAUAAGGUGAUAGCAAUUAAGGGCUGAGAUUUAGUUUUGGCUUGAUGAGUGAAGGAUCUCCUUUCCUUUU